GGGGGUAUAGCUCAGUGGCAGAGCAUUCGACUACAGGUCGACCGUCCCUGGUUUAAACCCGGGUGCUCCCU
Nephila pilipes (giant wood spider) is the source of this 71-nucleotide non-coding RNA. Lineage: Eukaryota; Metazoa; Arthropoda; Arachnida; Araneae; Nephilidae. The record is from the annotation of a GenBank genome assembly.